Molecule: ribosomal RNA, 492 nt
Filed under: uncultured bacterium
Lineage: Bacteria
Description: partial 16S ribosomal RNA
Rfam family: Bacterial small subunit ribosomal RNA
Source: RNAcentral
AGUGAACGCUGGCGGUAGGCCUAACACAUGCAAGUCGAACGGCAGCACAGUAAAAGCUUGCUCUUACGGGAGGCGAGUGGCGGACGGGUGAGGUAUACAUCGGAAUCUACUUUUUCGUGGGGGAUAAAGUAGGGAAACUUACGCUAAUACCGCAUACUACCUACGGGUGAAAGCAGGGGAUCUUCGGACCUUGCGCGAUUGAAUGAGCCGAUGUCGGAUUAGCUAGUUGGCGGGGUAAAGGCCCACCAAGGCGACGAUCCGUAGCUGGUCUGAGAGGAUGAUCAGCCACACUGGAACUGAGACACGGUCCAGACUCCUACGGGAGGCAGCAGUGGGGAAUAUUGGACAAUGGGCGCAAGCCUGAUCCAGCCAUACCGCGUGGGUGAAGAAGGCCUUCGGGUUGUAAAGCCCUUUUGUUGGGAAAGAAAAGCAGCAGGUUAAUACCCCGCUGUUCUGACGGUACCCAAAGAAUAAGCACCGGCUAACUUCGUG